ACGAACGCUGGCGGCGUGCUUAACACAUGCAAGUCGAACGGAAAGGCCCUGCUUUUGUGGGGUGCUCGAGUGGCGAACGGGUGAGUAACACGUGAGCAACCUGCCCUUGACUUUGGGAUAACUUCAGGAAACUGGGGCUAAUACCGGAUAGGAGCUCCUGCUGCAUGGUGGGGGUUGGAAAGUUUCGGCGGUUGGGGAUGGACUCGCGGCUUAUCAGCUUGGUGGUGGGGUAGUGGCUUACCAAGGCUUUGACGGGUAGCCGGCCUGAGAGGGUGACCGGCCACAUUGGGACUGAGAUACGGCCCAGACUCCUACGGGAGGCAGCAGUGGGGAAUAUUGCACAAUGGGCGGAAGCCUGAUGCAGCAACGCCGCGUGCGGGAUGACGGCCUUCGGGUUGUAAACCGCUUUCGCCUGUGACGAAGCGUGAGUGACGGUAAUGGGUAAAGAAGCACCGGCUAACUACGUG
This 467-nucleotide ribosomal RNA is filed under the name uncultured bacterium. RNAcentral's name for it is "partial 16S ribosomal RNA". It matches the Rfam family "Bacterial small subunit ribosomal RNA", at positions 29 to 507 of the family's 1533-position model. The record is from RNAcentral.